RNAcentral lists this ribosomal RNA (489 nucleotides) under uncultured bacterium. Its description in RNAcentral is "partial 16S ribosomal RNA". It matches the Rfam family "Bacterial small subunit ribosomal RNA", at positions 30 to 506 of the family's 1533-position model. The record is from RNAcentral.
AUUGAACGCUGGCGGCAGGCCUAACACAUGCAAGUCGAACGGUAACAGGAAGAAGCUUGCUUCUUUGCUGACGAGUGGCGGACGGGUGAGUAAUGUCUGGGAAACUGCCUGAUGGAGGGGGAUAACUACUGGAAACGGUAGCUAAUACCGCAUAACGUCGCAAGACCAAAGAGGGGGACCUUCGGGCCUCUUGCCAUCGGAUGUGCCCAGAUGGGAUUAGCUAGUAGGUGGGGUAACGGCUCACCUAGGCGACGAGCCCUAGCUGGUCUGAGAGGAUGACCAGCCACACUGGAACUGAGACACGGUCCAGACUCCUACGGGAGGCAGCAGUGGGGAAUAUUGCACAAUGGGCGCAAGCCUGAUGCAGCCAUGCCGCGUGUAUGAAGAAGGCCUGCGGGUUGUAAAGUACUUUCAGCGGGGAGGAAGGGAGUAAAGUUAAUACCUUUGCUCAUUGACGUUACCCGCAGAAGAAGCACCGGCUAACUCCGU